UACGGGGGGGGCAAGCGUUGUUCGGAAUUACUGGGCGUAAAGGGUUCGUAGGUGGCCAACUAAGUCAUACGUGAAAUCCCUCAGCUUAACUGGGGAACUGCGUCUGAUACUGGUUGGCUUGAGUGCAGGAGAGGAACGCGGAAUUCCAGGUGUAGCGGUGGAAUGCGUAGAGAUCGGGAAGAACACCCGUGGCGAAGGCGGCCAGCUGGGCCGGUUCUGACGCUGAGGCGCGAAAGCGUGGGGAGCAAACAGG
This 253-nucleotide ribosomal RNA is filed under the name uncultured bacterium. RNAcentral's name for it is "partial 16S ribosomal RNA". It matches the Rfam family "Bacterial small subunit ribosomal RNA", at positions 524 to 776 of the family's 1533-position model. The record is from RNAcentral.